CAAAGAAUAUUUUAAUAAAAAUAAUAAUUUUGGAGAUUAUAGAUAUAGAUAAUUCUUUUUCUUUGA
Molecule: transfer RNA, 66 nt
Filed under: Aporia potanini intercostata
Lineage: Eukaryota; Metazoa; Arthropoda; Insecta; Lepidoptera; Pieridae
Description: tRNA-Pro
Source: RNAcentral